This 497-nucleotide ribosomal RNA is filed under the name uncultured bacterium. RNAcentral's name for it is "partial 16S ribosomal RNA". It matches the Rfam family "Bacterial small subunit ribosomal RNA", at positions 28 to 507 of the family's 1533-position model. The record is from RNAcentral.
GAUGAACGCUGGCGGCGUGCCUAAUACAUGCAAGUCGAGCGAACAGACGAGGAGCUUGCUCCUCUGACGUUAGCGGCGGAAGGGUGAGUAACACGUGGAUAACCUACCUAUAAGACUUGGAUAACUUCGGGAAACCGGAGCUAAUACCGGAUAAUAUAUUGAACCGCAUGGUUCAAUAGUGAAAGACGGUUUUGCUGUCACUUAUAGAUGGAUCCGCGCCGCAUUAGCUAGUUGGUAAGGUAACGGCUUACCAAGGCAACGAUGCGUAGCCGACCUGAGAGGGUGAUCGGCCACACUGGAACUGAGACACGGUCCAGACUCCUACGGGAGGCAGCAGUAGGGAAUCUUCCGCAAUGGGCGAAAGCCUGACGGAGCAACGCCGCGUGAGUGAUGAAGGUCUUCGGAUCGUAAAACUCUGUUAUUAGGGAAGAACAAAUGUGUAAGUAACUAUGCACGUCUUGACGGUACCUAAUCAGAAAGCCACGGCUAACUACGUG